AGAACUUAGCAGAGAUGCUUUGGUGCCCUUCGGGGAACUCUGAGACAGGUGCUGCAUGGCUGUCGUCAGCUCGUGUUGUGAAAUGUUGGGUUAAGUCCCGCAACGAGCGCAACCCUUAUCCUUUGUUGCCAGCGGUCCGGCCGGGAACUCAAAGGAGACUGCCAGUGAUAAACUGGAGGAAGGUGGGGAUGACGUCAAGUCAUCAUGGCCCUUACGAGUAGGGCUACACACGUGCUACAAUGGCGCAUACAAAGAGAAGCGACCUCGCGAGAGCAAGCGGACCUCAUAAAGUGCGUCGUAGUCCGGAUUGGAGUCUGCAACUCGACUCCAUGAAGUCGGAAUCGCUAGUAAUCGUAGAUCAGAAUGCUACGGUGAAUACGUUCCCGGGCCUUGUACACACCGCCCGUCACACCAUGGGAGUGGGUUGCAAAAGAAGUAGGUAGCUUAACCUUCGGGAGGGCGCUUACCACUUUGUGAUUCAUGACUGGGGUGAAGUCGUAACAAGGUAAGCGUAGCGAG
This 519-nucleotide ribosomal RNA is filed under the name uncultured bacterium. Its description in RNAcentral is "bacterial SSU rRNA". It matches the Rfam family "Bacterial small subunit ribosomal RNA", at positions 992 to 1509 of the family's 1533-position model. The record is from RNAcentral.